This 641-nucleotide ribosomal RNA is filed under the name uncultured bacterium. RNAcentral describes it as "bacterial SSU rRNA". It matches the Rfam family "Bacterial small subunit ribosomal RNA", at positions 232 to 885 of the family's 1533-position model. The record is from RNAcentral.
CGCGGCCUAUCAGCUUGUUGGUGAGGUAAUGGCUCACCAAGGCGUCGACGGGUAGCCGGCUGAGAGGGUGACCGGCCACACUGGGACUGAGACACGGCCCAGACUCCUACGGGAGGCAGCAGUGGGGAAUAUUGCACAAUGGGCGAAAGCCUGAUGCAGCAACGCCGCGUGAGGGAUGACGGCCUUCGGGUUGUAAACCUCUUUUAGCAGGGAAGAAGCGAAAGUGACGGUACCUGCAGAAAAAGCGCCGGCUAACUACGUGCCAGCAGCCGCGGUAAUACGUAGGGCGCAAGCGUUAUCCGGAAUUAUUGGGCGUAAAGAGCUCGUAGGCGGUUUGUCGCGUCUGCUGUGAAAUCCCGAGGCUCAACCUCGGGCCUGCAGUGGGUACGGGCAGACUAGAGUGCGGUAGGGGAGAUUGGAAUUCCUGGUGUAGCGGUGGAAUGCGCAGAUAUCAGGAGGAACACCGAUGGCGAAGGCAGAUCUCUGGGCCGUAACUGACGCUGAGGAGCGAAAGGGUGGGGAGCAAACAGGCUUAGAUACCCUGGUAGUCACCCCGUAAACGUUGGGAACUAGUUGUGGGGUCCAUUCCACGGAUUCCGUGACGCAGCUAACGCAUUAAGCUCCCCGCCUGGGGAGUACGG